AGUUCUGGUAGCCAAGGAUGACUUGCCUAUAUCCUCUAUGAAGGAUCAGCAAAUAUCGAGGCUUUGAGUGGUCUCAUGGGCAGUCUCCUUGGCUAGCCUGACUGACUCU
Sorghum bicolor (sorghum) is the source of this 109-nucleotide microRNA precursor. NCBI's taxonomy places the organism in Eukaryota, Viridiplantae, Streptophyta, Magnoliopsida, Poales, Poaceae. The record is from Rfam.